RNAcentral lists this ribosomal RNA (398 nucleotides) under uncultured bacterium. Its description in RNAcentral is "bacterial SSU rRNA". It matches the Rfam family "Bacterial small subunit ribosomal RNA", at positions 358 to 773 of the family's 1533-position model. The record is from RNAcentral.
GGAAUCUUAGACAAUGGGGGCAACCCUGAUCUAGCCAUGCCGCGUGAACGAUGAAGGCCCUAGGGUUGUAAAGUUCUUUCAGCGAGGAAGAUAAUGACGGUACUCGCAGAAGAAGCCCCGGCUCACUCCGUGCCAGCCGCCGCGGUAAUACGGAGGGGGCCAGCGUUGUUCGGAAUUACUGGGCGUAAAGCGCACGUAGGCGGAUCAGUCAGUCAGGGGUGAAAUCCCGGGGCGCAACCCCGGAACUGCCUUUGAUACUGCUGGUCUGGAGUCCGAGAGAGGUGAGUGGAAUUCCGAGUGUAGAGGUGAAAUUCGUAGAUAUUCGGAGGAACACCAGUGGCGAAGGCGGCUCACUGGCUCGGUACUGACGCUGAGGUGCGAAAGCGUGGGGAGCAAAC